GUACCGGAGGUGCGCUUGGAACGAGGUAUAGUUUAAAACAAAACUCCUUGCUUACACCAAGAAAAUACCCGCUAAAACCGGAUUACUUCGAGCCUAAUUUUUAGCCACAACCUACUAUAGGAUCCUCCCCCAAUUUUCCACACUAAACAAAUCAUUCUCUUACCCUAGUAAAGGCGAUUGAAAAACUUCUCAGAGCUAUAGACAGUACCGCAAGGGAACAAUGAAAUAGAAAUGAAAUAAUACCAAAGCACAAUAUAGUAGAGAUGCCUCCUCGUACCUUUUGCAUCAUGAUUUAGCCAGUCCCAACAAGCAAAACGAAUUACAGUUUGCCCCCCCGAAACCAAGUGAGCUACUCCGAGGCAACUAAAAGAGUCAACCCGUCUCUGUAGCAAAAGAGUGGGAAGACCCCCGAGUAGAGGUGAUAAACCUAACGAGCUUGGUGAUAGCUGGUUGCUCAAGAAACGGAUCUUAGUCCAACCUUAAACUAACUCAACAAAACCUAGUAACAUCAUGUUUAAGAGCCAGUCAAAUAAGGUACAGCUUAUUUGACCCAGGAUACAACCUAAACUCCCGGGUAAUGACCCCCCCCCCCCGACGUUAACCUAACACAAGAGCAC
RNAcentral lists this ribosomal RNA (617 nucleotides) under Geocrinia victoriana (Victoria ground froglet). Its description in RNAcentral is "partial 16S ribosomal RNA". The stretch from base 257 to 617 matches the Rfam family "Bacterial large subunit ribosomal RNA", at positions 569 to 1086 of the family's 2925-position model. The record is from RNAcentral. Lineage: Eukaryota; Metazoa; Chordata; Amphibia; Anura; Myobatrachidae.